Molecule: non-coding RNA, 203 nt
Organism: Pelobates cultripes (western spadefoot toad)
Lineage: Eukaryota; Metazoa; Chordata; Amphibia; Anura; Pelobatidae
Source: the annotation of a GenBank genome assembly
GUACGUCUCUAUUUUUUGGGGAGUUUUUAGAGAUAAAACUGCUGGUUAAAACAUUUUUAAGAUUACUGGCACCUCUAUAUACUACUCGUGGUUUUUCUCCUACAAAUGUAAGGAGAUCUUCAUUUUGUCUAAGGAUAUGCCAGUGUUUUUUAAGAAUUUUAUGAAACAAGUAACUUUGAGAAUUAUAAUCGCAUAUAAAAGAA